AACGAACGCUGGCGGCAGGCCUAACACAUGCAAGUCGAGCGCCCCGCAAGGGGAGCGGCGGACGGGUGAGUAACGCGUGGGAACGUACCCUUUGCUACGGAAUAGCCUCGGGAAACUGGGAGUAAUACCGUAUGUGCCCUUCGGGGGAAAGAUUUAUCGGCAAAAGGAUCGGCCCGCGUUGGAUUAGGUAGUUGGUGGGGUAAUGGCCUACCAAGCCGACGAUCCAUAGCUGGUUUGAGAGGAUGAUCAGCCACACUGGGACUGAGACACGGCCCAGACUCCUACGGGAGGCAGCAGUGGGGAAUCUUAGACAAUGGGCGCAAGCCUGAUCUAGCCAUGCCGCGUGAGCGAUGAAGGCCUUAGGGUUGUAAAGCUCUUUCAGUGGGGAAGAUAAUGACUGUACCCACAGAAGAAGCCCCGGCUAAACUCCGUG
Molecule: ribosomal RNA, 433 nt
Filed under: uncultured bacterium
Lineage: Bacteria
Description: bacterial SSU rRNA
Rfam family: Bacterial small subunit ribosomal RNA
Source: RNAcentral